This 87-nucleotide ribosomal RNA is filed under the name Oscillibacter sp. The record is from RNAcentral. Lineage: Bacteria; Bacillati; Bacillota; Clostridia; Eubacteriales; Oscillospiraceae.
CGUUCCCAUUCCGAACACGGUAGUUAAGCUCGUUUCUGCCCACAAUACUUGGCUGGCGACGGCCCGGGAAGAUAGGUGGCGCCAACA